GGCAGGAUUAAAAAACUGAUUGCUCGUACAUGAUGUGCAAUUCUAGUAGUUAAGAGACGAGUAAUAUCGAGAAAUCUAUAUGAUGUCUCGAAAGAUCCAUCCUUCUUUUAGUUUCAUCGUGAAAGCAAACCACCAGGAUUAUAAUUUGAGCAACGCAAUAUUCUGGACCAUGGUAACUUGACACCUUUUUACCUUGUGACUGAGGUUUCAGCUCCAUCAUGUGAACAAUGUGUUGAACUA
Molecule: long non-coding RNA, 240 nt
Filed under: Elaeis guineensis (African oil palm)
Lineage: Eukaryota; Viridiplantae; Streptophyta; Magnoliopsida; Arecales; Arecaceae
Description: long non-coding RNA (EGUI_LNC000202)
Source: RNAcentral